AUCCUUUUGCAGUGGCAGUAUCCUAGCCUAUGAAGUGUAUCCGAGGCGUGAUCAUUGCUGGUUGAAAACUUAACCCAAUACCCCGUCAUGACGACUUGAAAUAAAGUCAGAAAUGGCAAUUUUAGACGGUUUCAAAGGAGA
Perca flavescens (yellow perch) is the source of this 141-nucleotide small nuclear RNA. RefSeq annotates it as U4 spliceosomal RNA. Lineage: Eukaryota; Metazoa; Chordata; Actinopteri; Perciformes; Percidae. The record is from RefSeq and is a predicted model, not a curated record. The transcript has a single exon.